AUUGAACGCUGGCGGCAUGCCUAACACAUGCAAGUCGAACGGCAACGGAAUCUAGCUUGCUAGAUAGACGGCGAGUGGCGAACGGGUGAGUAACGCGUAGGAAUAUACCCUGAAGAGUGGGACAACUUGGGGAAACUCAAGCUAAUACCGCAUAAGCUCUUAGGAGGAAAGCUGGGGACCUUAGGGCCUGGCGCUUCAGGAAUAGCCUGCGUCCGAUUAGCUAGUUGGUGGGGUAAGGGCCUACCAAGGCGACGAUCGGUAGCUGGUCUGAGAGGAUGGUCAGCCACACGGGGACUGAGACACGGCCCAGACUCCUACGGGAGGCAGCAGUGGGGAAUAUUGGACAAUGGGGGGAACCCUGAUCCAGCAAUGCCGCGUGUGUGAAGAAGGCCUGAGGGUUGUAAAGCACUUUCGGUGGGGAGGAGGAUUAUUUGGUUAAGAGCUGAAUGAUUGGACGUUACCCACAGAAGAAGCACCGGCUAACUCCGUGCCAGCCGCCGCCGGUAA
Molecule: ribosomal RNA, 507 nt
Filed under: uncultured bacterium
Lineage: Bacteria
Description: partial 16S ribosomal RNA
Rfam family: Bacterial small subunit ribosomal RNA
Source: RNAcentral